ACGGGAGUCGUCUAACGGCAGGACAUCUGACUCUGACUCAGACAGUUAAGGUUCGAAUCCUUACUCCCGUGCCA
Molecule: transfer RNA, 74 nt
Filed under: Deinococcus roseus
Lineage: Bacteria; Thermotogati; Deinococcota; Deinococci; Deinococcales; Deinococcaceae
Also listed under: 3 other names
Description: tRNA-Gln
Rfam family: tRNA
About the family: Transfer RNA (tRNA) molecules are approximately 80 nucleotides in length.
Source: RNAcentral